Molecule: long non-coding RNA, 84 nt
Organism: Etheostoma spectabile (orangethroat darter)
Lineage: Eukaryota; Metazoa; Chordata; Actinopteri; Perciformes; Percidae
Exons: 3
Source: RefSeq, a predicted model, not a curated record
UUUUUUUCUUUUUUGCGACAUUUUAAAAGUUUGCUUUAAAUUCGAUUGACAAUUAGAUGGAAACAUGUCUACUAAAGUCCUGAC